CAGCCGCCGCGGUAAUACGGAGGGUGCAAGCGUUGAUCGGAAUUACUGGGCGUAAAGCGUGCGUAGGCGGUUCGUUAAGUCUGUUGUGAAAGCCCCGGGCUCAACCUGGGAAUGGCAAUGGAUACUGGCGAGCUAGAGUGUGUCAGAGGAUGGUGGAAUUCCCGGUGUAGCGGUGAAAUGCGUAGAGAUCGGGAGGAACAUCAGUGGCGAAGGCGGCCAUCUGGGACAACACUGACGCUGAGGCACGAAAGCGUGGGGAGCAAACAGGAUUAGAUACCCGUGUAGUCCCUGUCUCUUAUAC
Molecule: ribosomal RNA, 301 nt
Filed under: uncultured bacterium
Lineage: Bacteria
Description: partial 16S ribosomal RNA
Rfam family: Bacterial small subunit ribosomal RNA
Source: RNAcentral